This 253-nucleotide ribosomal RNA is filed under the name uncultured bacterium. RNAcentral describes it as "partial 16S ribosomal RNA". It matches the Rfam family "Bacterial small subunit ribosomal RNA", at positions 524 to 776 of the family's 1533-position model. The record is from RNAcentral.
CACGUAGGGCGCAAGCGUUGUCCGGAAUUAUUGGGCGUAAAGAGCUCGUAGGCGGUCUGUUGCGUCUGCUGUGAAAACUCGGGGCUUAACCCCGAGCCUGCAGUGGAUACGGGCAGACUAGAGGUAGGUAGGGGAGAAUGGAAUUCCCGGUGUAGCGGUGAAAUGCGCAGAUAUCGGGAGGAACACCGGUGGCGAAGGCGGAUCUCUGGACAGUUCCUGACGCUGAGGCGCGAAGGCCAGGGGAGCAAACGGG